AUGGAAGCCGGGGAGGAGUGGAACAAAGACCUGAGUGCCCACAAACUGCUGGAUAAAAAAGUGCACCGCAAGCAGAAUGGACGGAUAGGUAUAGCGCGGACUCUUCACAGCCUGUUGAAAACCCAGAACACAUUGCAGAUCCAGUCCAUCACCCGUUCAGAAUGUGCUGGCUCCUGUCCAAAUUUGAUGAUGAGUAGGAGCGAGCACGCCGAUGCGAGGCCCGUCCCUGUGGCCCUUACCCCCCAGUUGCCCCCCAGAGCUCACCGGCCCCUCUGCAUGUCGGUCUCCUCCGAUAGCAGCGGACGCUUCAGAGCUCUGGAGACGCAGGAGUGGAAGAACAACCUCAAAGCUCAGAUGGAGCAGGCCCACAGUGGAGGAGCUGCCAGCAGCACGGGCUCUCUGGAGCGAGCGUCCCUGUUCUGUGCCUCAGCUUCCACCACAGCGUCCAGUUCCAGCCUGUCCAGUCCGGUGGAGAUCCUAAAUAAGAGCAAAUCCUCCAGCCGCUUCUCUCUCUUCUCUCCGCCCUGGAACAGUAGCUCUGAGUCCGACUCCAACCCUCCGUCCCGUUCGGGUUCCAAGAAGUUGCGCAACUACAGCAGGAGAGCUGCUACGGGGCCAGCAGGAGCCAGGGGCCCAGAUACUCCUGAGCCCAAACCCAGCGGCCCUGAACACUUCCAGUACUCUGAACCUGUCAUCUCCAAGGUGACGGACUACAUCUUUGUUGGCAACCUGAACGCGGCAUACAAUGGGCGCACCCUGUGUCGGAAUAACAUUGACAGCAUCAUCGAUAUGAGCAGCGUGCCAGGAGAACCGGGGCCCAGCCUCAGCCUCAUACCCUGCACCUGCUCCCGCGGCACCCGUCACAGCUGGUCCCGCCUCAAAGUGGACAUCGGAGAUGUGCCGGAUGCUCUGGGCGACGGCCCGGCCCUGAAGCAGCGCUGCUUCGAGGACAUCAAUGAGUGCAUCGACGCCUCCACUGAGAAGAGGAAGCGUGUUCUGGUCCACUGUCGGGAUGGGUUUUCCCUGGCACCGACAUGCAUCAUCCAGUACCUGAUGGUGAAGCAGAACAUGAGGCUGAUUGCCGCCUACGAGCUGCUGAGGGCCAAGUACCCGGUCAACAUCAGAGAGUGUCACCAAAAUGUGCUGGUGAGCCUGGAGAGGGCACUGCGGCCUGGGGGCAAUGUCAACCCUGAGUGCUUUAAACAGGCCAUCUCACGCAAAGUAGCCUGGACAUAA
Molecule: long non-coding RNA, 1236 nt
Organism: Scophthalmus maximus (turbot)
Lineage: Eukaryota; Metazoa; Chordata; Actinopteri; Pleuronectiformes; Scophthalmidae
Source: Ensembl